Molecule: ribosomal RNA, 600 nt
Filed under: Pseudomonas putida
Lineage: Bacteria; Pseudomonadati; Pseudomonadota; Gammaproteobacteria; Pseudomonadales; Pseudomonadaceae
Description: bacterial SSU rRNA
Rfam family: Bacterial small subunit ribosomal RNA
Source: RNAcentral
UCGUACAGGUAGCCGUAGAGUUGAUCUCGGCGGACGGGUGAGUAAUGCCUAGGAAUCUGCCUGGUAGUGGGGGACAACGUUUCGAAAGGAACGCUAAUACCGCAUACGUCCUACGGGAGAAAGCAGGGGACCUUCGGGCCUUGCGCUAUCAGAUGAGCCUAGGUCGGAUUAGCUAGUUGGUGGGGUAAUGGCUCACCAAGGCGACGAUCCGUAACUGGUCUGAGAGGAUGAUCAGUCACACUGGAACUGAGACACGGUCCAGACUCCUACGGGAGGCAGCAGUGGGGAAUAUUGGACAAUGGGCGAAAGCCUGAUCCAGCCAUGCCGCGUGUGUGAAGAAGGUCUUCGGAUUGUAAAGCACUUUAAGUUGGGAGGAAGGGCAGUAAGUUAAUACCUUGCUGUUUUGACGUUACCGACAGAAUAAGCACCGGCUAACUCUGUGCCAGCAGCCGCGGUAAUACAGAGGGUGCAAGCGUUAAUCGGAAUUACUGGGCGUAAAGCGCGCGUAGUGGUUUGUUAAGUUGGAUGUGAAAGCCCCGGGCUCAACCUGGGGAACUGCCAUCCAAAACUGGGAAGCUAGAGUACGGUAGAGGGUGGUGG